This is a small nucleolar RNA of Macleaya cordata, 80 nucleotides long. The record is from Rfam. NCBI's taxonomy places the organism in Eukaryota, Viridiplantae, Streptophyta, Magnoliopsida, Ranunculales, Papaveraceae.
GAGCAAAUGAUGAAAGAAAUUAAUAUGUUUCUGAUUAUCAAUGAAGCUUCAAACAUCGAGCUUUUUAAAACUGAUGCUCA